UAUUUUCCAGGGGGCCCACAGAUUUUCUUCCACUAGAAAUACCCUCACAAGUCAUCUUCUUCAGAGGGACAAUCUUCAUAUUCACGCACCAGCUCACAGAAACAAUACUAAUACACACACCAGUGAGAGAGAGAUAUAGACGCACACCCGCAGAGAGAAUCAUAGGAGAAAGAGAGAAUCGGGAGAGAGUGAAUAAAAAAGGGGUUGAAUAGUGGUCGGUUGGCGUGAACAGUAAACGUUGAACGGAGUAGGGGGAAGAACAGUUUUUCCCGGUGAGCUUGUCACUGGAAUAGUGCCUCAUCGUAGAGUCCGUCCACUCCUCCCUAAAACUCAAUCAAAACCAGCUUCAAACCCCCUAAAAUUAUGACGCUAGUGCCCGACUACUCCGCCGCCACCGCUGUUACUAUUUCGGCAAUGAAUUUUUCGCCUGGAAUGAGCCAAAUCGAUCAAAAUCGUCCCAAAAAUAUUGAGAAAAUAGUGAGUUCACCUUGGGUUUUCGACAGUUAAGUUAGAGGUCUGUUUGUGAUUUGGUAUUGGAAAAAAAAGGAACAAAGGGGAUAUAUCGAAGUUGGAGUUGUUCGUUUGGUGAGGCUCGAUCUGAGAUUAUGGACGCGAUCCAAUCGAAAGGAGCAACUUUAAUCGAAAGCAACAUUUGAGGUUCAAUUCUAUCUUCUCUAUUUUUUUUGUAGUUUUUAACAUAAUUAUGAAUGAUUUAUGUGUUUGGCAUGUUUGAAUCUUCGUUAUGUGUGGGUUGAUGUUGGAUUUGGAUAUGAAAACUUGAUCGGUGGAUUGUAUAUUGAAUUGGUUUAAUCGUGUUAAAAAAGUUGAGGCGCGAAUUGAAAAUUUACUAAAGUGAAUUAGGAUUAAUUUUGAUUUAUUGUUAUUUUGAUUCAUUGACGCCAUCGAUCAUGAUAGUGCCAUGAUAGGUCGAGUUAGGUAGGCAAAAGUAGGCUGGGUAGGCAAAGUUGAGGACCUGUGAUUGUUGAAAUGAUGAAAUAUUUGUGGAGUGGUUUUGAUUUAUGCACUGAGAUCUAUUGUAUUCAUUUGGCCGGGGAAUGCCCCGAGGGAUUUGUAUUGAUUCACCGGGGAAUGCCCCGACGUAUCAUGUAUUCGGAGGACGUCCGUGAUGAAGGCCCGAAGCAUCGGGUAAGGCAUUGGACAUAGUUUAGGAUUAGUGUAGGUUAGCGUAGGUUUAUUUUUCAGUACCUUUUUUAUCAUUUCGGGUUGUAAUAAUUGGACUGGACAUUAUUAUUUUGAUUUUUGGAUUGUUGUUUGAUGUUUGUUUAUGUGCUUUGUGUGGUUUAUAUAUUUGUGGUGUCUAAUUAGCCGAUACUCUCCACCAAGAGACCAUGGUCGAACCACGGGACCGAGGGGUGCCUAACACCUUCCCCUCGGUCAACAAAAUUCCUUAGUUGAAACCUCUGUUCGCGGAUCAGUUUUACAGAGUCAAAAUCGUUUUGAAAAGGAUUUUCCAAAGGUGACUUGGCACACCGGAUUAUGCCAAGUGGUGACUCUGAGUUUUGAAUAUAAAUAAUUCUUUUCGAAAUAAAUUUUUAUUUUUUGUCACUUUGAUAAUAAAAAUCCUUUCAAACUUAAAACGAAAUCUUUUUUGGGUAAAAAAAGGGUGUGACAGCUCUGGCGACUCUGCUGGGGACUUUUUUUUAGAAUUCAAGCUUAUUUUGGAGUUGUAUCGACUUAGUUUGGCACUAUAGGUAUAUAGACAUUUUGUUUGUGUUGUUUUGUGUUAUUGUUUAUCAUUGUUGAGUGCCUACGUGCUCUUUGUUUACAAUUUUUAUUUUAUGUGUUACCGUUUUAUAUCUGGCAUCAUGUGUAUAACCCGAGCCAUUCUUUCUGCAACAAGUCUAUAGUAUACGCUAUGUACACGACCUCUAGUUGAGUCACCUUUAUCUUAGGGGGGAGUCUUCGACUGGUAUGGAGUGGGUGGAAAGCUAAAACAACCACUAUCGACCAUAUGCUCUCCCGAACAGCCUUGUUAGUGAAUCCCAGCGUAGGUCAGCUUUUAGGUCAUGCUUAUCUGCAUCAUAUUGAGACCUAGCGGGACUCACUUGGUCUUUUGUAGGAGACUCACCUCUAAGGCAUCCCUACGUGCUAAAUGUUACAUCUUUGAGGGUAACGUGGUCAUUUGACGGACUAAUUUAAGGGAAAACAUGUGCUAGAGGUAAAGUGCGUAGACAAGAAAUCAUUUGAAAAAAAAAGGAGUUUCGUAGCUUUUAGUGUUCUUUAUGACUUUUGUUUCCCACAAUUCAAAAAUUCAAAAAGAUUUCUUUAUUUUCUGCACUCAUUUUUUUAAAAACCAAAACAUCAAAAAGAUUUCUCACUUUGUCUCCUUUAGCAUGCAUUCAUAAUUAGAAAUUUUCAAAAAAAAAAAAAAUUAGCAGUUUUUAUAAAAGAAAUUGAAAAAUGGUGAAAGAUUUGUACAUUUCAUAUAGUGAAAAUGUCAAAAAGAUUUUCCUUCAUAAUUGUUGGUGUCAGUUUAGCUGAAGUAUCUAAUUAAAAACCCAAAAAUAUUUUAUUCAUUUGUCUUUGGUUGUGUCUCUUAAGUUAGGGUCAAUUUGUUAGACUAUCGUUAAUUGUACAAUCUGGACGAACUACGCACCCGUGAUUCUGCUCUCUCCGGAGUGAGAUACAUAGGUAACCUAUUUUGGGUUGGGGAUCUUAUUUCAAAAAUUCAAAAAAAGAUUUUCUUCACUCUUCAUUUAGAGUAGGUGUUUCAUGUACAUCUUUAAAAGAAAACAACAAAAAAAUAUUUCCCUUUAAUAGGUUCAGGUUUCAUUUUCAUAUGAAAUUCAAAAUCAAAAAUCAAAAAAUAUUUUUUUCGGUAAUCAUAGAUUUCAUUUUGUACAGAAAUCUGAAAAAUUCAAAAAGAUUUUCUUCACUCUUCACUUAGAGUAGGUGUUUCAUAUACAUCUCUAAAAAACUACAAAAAGAUUUUUCUUUAAUAGUUUGAAGUUUCAUUUUCCUAUGAAAUUCAAAAUCGAAAACCCUAAAAGAUUUUUAUUUGGUAAUCAUGGGUUUCAUUUUGUAUAGGGAUGUUAAGACUAAAAAAUGCAAAAAAAGAUUUUCGUCAAUUCUUUUGACAAUUUGUUAUUUUCUUUUCUUCUUAAAGUUUCAAAAAGAAAACAAAGAGUUCAAUUGGCCGUUUUGGCACGACUUAACGAACUACGCACACCUGAUUCUCCUCUCUCGGUGGUGAGAUACGUAGGUGCCCUUCUUGGGUUCGGUGAUCUUUUCAAGAAAAAAAAGGGAGAGAGAGGUUUUGAAAAAUGUUGAACUCUAACAUAUUUGUUGCCUCUUGUUCAGUUAGUUUAAGGUGGUUGGUUUGUGGCUUACUGGUUGGUCCUCCAUAUCACACCAAAUCCAAGGAGGGGUUAGUUGUGUCCAACAAGGAUAUAGAAAGUGGCAUCAUGGAUGAAACAAAGAUUCAGGAAAUUGAGAGUUUAAAGAAAGAGAAUUUGAGACUGAGACAACAAGUGAUGGAAAUAUACCGAGCUUGGACCAGUGGGCUGCCUCCACCUCUGUUUCCCACUUUUGGCCCUGCAAAUACCUUGAGUCUUCCACCAAAAUCGUAAAGUCAGUUUCUGUCUUCUUAUCCACAAUGGCAUGCUCCUGUCCCUCAACAUCGUCCUCGACCCCCACGAAUUUACCAAGGAACCUCUAAAUCCAAGUUUCAUCUAAGGCUAGAGUUAGUGUUGUAAAACAUUUCAUAAGUGAUCUUUAUCGUGCAAUUUUGUAUUGCAUGCUAUGUACUAGCAUUUUCAAAAAUUGAUAUGACGAAGGCAUUUCAUUCUGCUUUCCAAAUAUUGUGUCAUCCUUUGUUUACCCCAUUUGGGCCUUAGUGUUAUUUUCUUUUAUACCCCUCUUUUGGAAUCAAGAUAAAGUCAACAAAAUCCAAAAAAAGUGUCGAAAAAGAAAAAAAAGAUGAGUGUCAAGAAAAAUAAAGUCAGAAAAGUCCCAAAGAUAAAAAGAGUCGACAAAAGAAAAAAAAUAGAAUCAAGUGAAAGAACAAGUUGCCAGAACUACGCAUGACUUGAUUCUCCUCUCUCGAGGGUGAGAUACGUAGGCUGCCUUACUCAGGGCUCGGUCCAACCAAAUAAAUAAUUUAGAAUUGCCCAGUCAAAAAUUGGGGCUUGAGUUAAUCCUCAUUGUUUGAGUCGAUUCCAAAAGUUGUAAGUCCUACCCCACUUUUAGUAUUGUUUGGGCCCCAUGCCAUCCUUUAUUUUCAACCCUAUCCAAAAGCCAAGUUACAAUCAAAGAAAGACCUUCAGAUCAAUCUUUGAGAAUGUUAAGGCUAAGUAUGCAAUGGAUGUGAUGACACAUUUUGAGAACUACUCGUCUUCCUCAGCAUAAAAAAUCAGGAGAGAAAUAAAAAUGAGAGAGUUUUAUUGGUGAAAACCCUCACGGGCACCAUAAGGAGAUGGUAAAUUAAGAAAGAUAAAAAUGAGAGAGUUUUAUUAGUGAAAACCCUCACAGACACCAUAAGGCGAUGGUGAGUUGAGAGAAAAAUGAGAGAGGCUUGUUUGAGAAAACCCUUCAAGGUGCCACUAGCCGAAUGAGGUCUCCGAAUGCAAUGGGUCUAAGUAAGAAACUCAGUUUCAGGGCCAUUAACUCAACAACAAUUGGUAGAAAGUUUGGAUGAAAAGAUCAGGCUGCUUAAUCCAAAAUGCACAGUAUAAUUAUUAGAGUUGACUGUCAUUUUUAGAUUAAUUUAUUGUUUCUUUGUUACAAAUGAGGAUAUUCAUUUUCUUUCCUUUCUUUUCUUUAUUUUUAUUUUAUCUUUCUUGAGUCAGUUAUCCAAAUAAAAAAAUUGUCUUUCUUUUUUUUCUUUUCUUGUCUUUGAGUCAAGUCCAUGUCAAAACAAGUGAGAAAAGAUUUUAAAACUGGCUAUCAGCUUCUUCAAUUGCACAAAGCAAGACAAAAGGGACAGCACAUGCAAAAGACAUGAUUGUGAGCCGAAAUAAGGCAUACAAAAAUUGUGUCAACAGACAAGUUUGGGAACUCAUGAAAAUACCAAGGUUCAAAGGGUUUAUAUGAUGAGCAUGACGAAGCAGAGAUAUCAUUUUAUUUCAGAGUCACUUUUAAUAAACUGAAUUUAGGUCAAUGAUGCAGCAAGUCAAUGAUAAAUGCUAAUGGUUGGAAGCAAGGUUAAAUGUGAUGGGGCAAGAGCGAUCGUCGCGAAAGCUAAAGCCACAAACCAGCCACCGUGUUUUAAACUCACAAGUUUUCUUUGAUGAAAUAGGAAACAUAUUACCUUCAAAGCAAGGACGUCAGAGCAUAAAUAUCAAGGCUUUCAAUGCCUCACGUUUAAAUAUGCACGAAGAAAUGUUGCUGCACAGGUUUGGUAAUCAAAUCAUUGUAAAAUUCAUCAUCUUAUAUCCCUCGGAGACACAUUUUCUUGUCCAGGGAUUUCAUUUUUCAUUUGCUGGGUGAUACACUUCUUAAAUUGAUCCUUCACUCCUAAAAGACGUACCUUUUAGUCGAGUCAUCCCCUUUGACCCCAAAAGACGUACCUUUUAGUAGAGUCAUUUCCUUUGAUUCCUAUAAGACAUACCUUUUACUCGAAUCAUUCCCGCUUGACUCCUAGAAGACGUACCUUUUAGUCGAGUCAUUCCCCUUAACCCCUAGAAGACGUACCUUUUAGUCGAUUCAUUCCUUUGAUUCCUAUAAGACGUACCUUUUAGUCGAGUCAUUCCUCUUGACCCCUAGAAGAAGUACCUUUUAGUAGAGUCAUUUCCUAUGAUUCCUAUAAGACGUACCUUUUAGUCGAGUCAUUCCUCUUGAGGCCUUGACCCCUAGAAGACGUACCUUUUAGUUGAGUCAUAUCCCUUGAUUCCUAUAAGAUGUACCUUUUAGUCGAGUCAUUCCCCUUGAGUCCUUGACCCCUAGAAGACGUACCUUUUAGUUGGGUCAUAUCCCUUGAUUCCUAUAAGACGUACCUUUUAGUCGAGUCAUUUCCUUUGAUUCCUAUAAGACGUACCUUUUACUUGAGUCAUCACCCCUUGAUUCCUAUAAGACGUACCUUCUAGUCGAGUCAUUCCCUUGAUUCCUAUAAGACGUACCUUUUAGUCGAGUCAAUUUCUUUGAUUCCUAUAAGACGUACCUUAUAGUCGAGUCAUUCUCCUUGAUUCCUAUAAUGAUGUGACUUUCACAAAAGUCCUUUGAUAAUAAACUGGGGCAAAAUUUAAUUCUUAUUUUUGGAACUUUACUUUUCUGGCAAACAAAAUUUCUCUUUAUGAAAAACUUUGUUUGGGAUAAUUUUCUUGUUAGUUUUGAUAUGAUUUCAGAAGCCCGCCUGAAGAACAGGGUGAUGAGAUAGAAAGUCAGGAGCCCACCUGAAGAACAGGGAUGAUGAAAUGGCAAGUCAGGAACCCGCCUGAAGAAUAGGGUGAUUAAAUAGUAAGUCAGGAGCCCUCCUGAAGAAUAGGGCGGAUAAAUGGAAAAUCUAGAACAAGGUGAAAAAAAUCUGAAAAAACAAGCAAAAAGGUGAAGCAAUUGAAAGUCAAGCAACAAGUUGAAUAAAUUGCAAAUCAGGAGCCCACCUGAAGAAUAGUGUGAUGAAACUUAAGUCAAGAGUCCAAAAGAAGAUGCAUAGAUAGAAUUUCUGUAAUUUUAUUUAUGUUUUUAACUCGUAAUUUUCAUUUUGAUGUAAUGAUAGAGCUGUGGACCGAAACCUUGAUGGAACCUCACUCGACUCUCCAACUCGGUAUAGUCCUUCUCUUUCAAAUAUUUUGAAAUACUGGUCCCUUGAUUCCUCCAUAACUUCGGUAGAUAGGUUGUCCUAAGUCAGGA
RNAcentral lists this long non-coding RNA (6807 nucleotides) under Capsicum annuum. RNAcentral describes it as "long non-coding RNA (CANN_LNC016619)". The record is from RNAcentral. Lineage: Eukaryota; Viridiplantae; Streptophyta; Magnoliopsida; Solanales; Solanaceae.